GACGAACGCUGGCGGCGUGCUUAACACAUGCAAGUCGAGCGGUAAGGCCCUUUCGGGGGUACACGAGCGGCGAACGGGUGAGUAACACGUGGGUGACCUGCCCUCAGCUCUGGGAUAAGCCUGGGAAACCGGGUCUAAUACCGGAUAUGACUCCAUGACGCAUGUUGUGGGGUGGAAAGCCUUGUGCGGCUGAGGAUGGGCCCGCGGCCUAUCAGCUUGUUGGUGGGGUGAUGGCCUACCAAGGCGACGACGGGUAGCCGGCCUGAGAGGGCGACCGGCCACACUGGGACUGAGACACGGCCCAGACUCCUACGGGAGGCAGCAGUGGGGAAUCUUGGACAAUGGGCGCGAGCCUGAUCCAGCCAUGCCGCGU
RNAcentral lists this ribosomal RNA (373 nucleotides) under uncultured bacterium. Its description in RNAcentral is "bacterial SSU rRNA". It matches the Rfam family "Bacterial small subunit ribosomal RNA", at positions 28 to 402 of the family's 1533-position model. The record is from RNAcentral.